Molecule: long non-coding RNA, 708 nt
Filed under: Ovis aries (sheep)
Lineage: Eukaryota; Metazoa; Chordata; Mammalia; Artiodactyla; Bovidae
Description: lncRNA (ENSOARG00000026773.1)
Source: RNAcentral
AUGUAUUUCCAGCAGCAGAAUCUGGGGCACUGGGAUGGAGGGUCCUGGGGGAGGAGAGCCAGCUGCCCUGGGAGCUCUGGUGCCCUGCGGGGAGGCCUCCUUGCCACCCAAGCCACCCCCACGCCGUCCCAUCCGAGUCCUCCUGCCAUCCAGGGGAGGUGGCCCCACGAAACCCAGGCCCCUGGACACCGCGUGGGUCUGUCUGAAGCUGUGAGCCCACAGACCCGAGGGCUCGGGGCCGGCCUGACUGCCAGGGGAAGUGAAGACCCUGGGGCUUCGAUUUCCCUUCACCCAGCCCAGACCCGGAGUGGCCUGGGGACCAGCUGGCACUCAGAGGGCCCCCACCCCCCCCCCGCAGGCCGGGCAGGCGGGCAGCACAGAGACUCUGGAAUGCUGGAGCGGUCAGGCAGUCCCAGAGCCAAGCUUGAGACGCUGGCUGGCUCGACCUUUCCGGAAGCCGGGGCCGGGUCCAGGCUUGGACAGAACAAGCUGGUUUUCAUCGAGGCCAGAAAACAUGAGGUGCUGGCCCAGCACGCGGGCAGCUCGUCCAGGGCCUGUGGGCGGCCUCCACUGCUGAGGCAGCCAGGCCUGUCCAGUCCGGUGCUGGCCUGGGGAGCCAUGCGGGCCAUCAGCUAGGGUGUCUGCUGGCCUGGUCUCCACCUCCAGCUUGUGGGGCCUGCAACGGGGGCAGGAGGGGGGAUCCUGCUC